Molecule: long non-coding RNA, 1540 nt
Organism: Pogoniulus pusillus (Red-fronted tinkerbird)
Lineage: Eukaryota; Metazoa; Chordata; Aves; Piciformes; Lybiidae
Exons: 3
Source: RefSeq, a predicted model, not a curated record
CCACCCUAGCUGGAAAGCUUCUCCCAUGUGCCAGGCUGGUUGGAUGCUCUCUCCAUGAGGUUUUGGGGUUCGAUUGGUUUUGUUUCCCACCUGGCUGUUAGCCAAAGCUCUCCCUGCCCAGACCUGGUGGCGUUUGUUUGCCUUUCCCUCCUCCUGCCCCCACCCCCGCAGCACCUGAGGCCAAUUGCAGUCUCCUCCCCCCCCCGGGUGUGGCCACUUUGCCCUCCCUGCUCCCUGCCCCAUAUAAGCAGAGCAGGAGGAGCCCAGCCCCAAGCUGGGCCCAUUGCGGGCCAAGGGAUCCUCCGCCGGCAUCCCAGGUUCUGCGGUGGAUGCAGACAUGGAGCAGGAGCAGAACUGGAGCUGGGAACGGAGCAGGAGCCUCGAAAGUUUUGUUCUAGGUUCUGCGGUGGAUGCAGACAUGGAGCAGGAGCAGAACUGGAGCUGGGAACGGAGCAGGAGCCUCGAAAGUUUUGUUCUAGGUUCUGCGGUGGAUGCAGACAUGGAGCAGGAGCAGACCUGGAGCUGGGAACGGAGCAGGAACCUCGAAAGUUUUGUUCUAGGUUCUGCGGUGGAUGCAGUCAUGGAGCAGGAGCAGAACUGGAGCUGGGAACGGAGCAGGAGCAGCAGCUGGGAAUGGAACUGGUAACGGAGCAGAAGCGGGCUGGCUGGAGGAGCACAGGGGCCGGAGCUGCAUUCAGCUGCCCGGGGGCAGGCAGCGCUGCCAGGACCCUGGCGCACACCCGCACAGGCUGUGCCGUGCCCGGGCAGGAGCUUUUGCAGCAGCUGCUCUCCGCUGCGGGUUCAGUGUCCUGCUGCAAGGAGGCUCUGCCUGCAGCUCAGAGCUGCCUUGCACCGUCUCAAGGGGCUCUCCAGGAAGGAGUCCCUCAGCCUGCUCUCAGCUCUCCUUCAGCUGCUGAAACGUAGCUCGAAGGUCUCCCUGGAGCCUUCUCCUCUCCAGGCUGAGCAGCCACAGCUCUCUCAGGCUGCCUUCAGAGCAGAGCUUCUCCCACCCUCUGCUCAUGUUUGUGGCCUGCUCUGGAAGCCCUCCAGCAGCUCCCUGUCUCCCUUGUGUUGGGGGUGCCCCAGAGCUGGCCACAGCAGUCCAGGCUGAGCUCUCCCCAAAGCAGAGGGGCAGAUGGUUCACAAGCACAGACCCCACAGGCUGCCCAACGACCUUCCCACACUGCAGCUACAGGUUUCAGUCAGAUCCUUUUAGUGUCAAAGCUGAGAGACUUGAGGGCUAAGGCACCAGCAGCACUGUGCUUCAAGCCAGAGAAACACCAAAUAAAAGGAGACCUCUCUUAAUUGCAGUUUAAUUGCCCAAGCCAAGCACUAAGACAUUGGACAUGCAGAUGAAUUGGGUGACUUGCAGAGCCUAAACAGCUUUAUGAGGCUGCUCCAACACAGUGCCCAGUUACAAACUGCUUCCCUGUGGAAGCAUUUUCACUUCCAGUGUUCUCCAAGCACCUGAUUUUUCACACAGACCCUUUCCUCUGUGGCCCUAAAGGUCUUCAUUAAUUAAAGGAAGAUUUUCUUUGCU